CAUAUAUAAUCAUUUUCAAAUAUAUUGUGAGUCUCGAGAGAUAUGUGGGACUUAGAGUAAAACUUUCCUUUAUAACUCUUCUCAAGAUGUUUCUGUGUGUUUAACAGGAACAAGGAGAGCACGGGCGAGUAACUACUGUUGCGUCGAGUGCUAGAAGUGAUACAGGCAUACUUAACGUCGUGUAAAGUGAAGAUUUUGCUAAUUUUGUUGAAUUUGAUCUUAUUAUUUUUCUUGAAUUUAAAACCUGUGUU
This 251-nucleotide unclassified non-coding RNA is filed under the name Melitaea cinxia (Glanville fritillary). Its description in RNAcentral is "misc RNA ENSMCXG00005007227.1". The record is from RNAcentral. Lineage: Eukaryota; Metazoa; Arthropoda; Insecta; Lepidoptera; Nymphalidae.